UACGUAGGGGCUAGCGUUAUCCGGAUUUACUGGGCGUAAAGGGUGCGUAGGCGGUCUUUCAAGUCAGGAGUGAAAGGCUACGGCUCAACCGUAGUAAGCUCUUGAAACUGUAAGAUUUGAGUGCAGGAGAGGAGAGUGGAAUUCCUAGUGUAGCGGUGAAAUGCGUAGAUAUUAGGAGGAACACCAGUUGCGAAGGCGGCUCUCUGGACUGUAACUGACGCUGAGGCACGAAAGCGUGGGGAGCGAACGGGAUUAGAUACCCGGGUAGUCCCUGA
Molecule: ribosomal RNA, 275 nt
Filed under: uncultured prokaryote
Description: partial 16S ribosomal RNA
Rfam family: Bacterial small subunit ribosomal RNA
Source: RNAcentral